CGGGUGAGUAACGCGUGGAUAACCUGCCUCACACUGGGGGAUAACAGUUAGAAAUGGCUGCUAAUACCGCAUAAGCGCACAGUACCGCAUGGUACGGUGUGAAAAACCCAGGUGGUGUGAGAUGGAUCCGCGUCUGAUUAGCCAGUUGGCGGGGUAACGGCCCACCAAAGCGACGAUCAGUAGCCGACCUGAGAGGGUGGCCGGCCACAUUGGGACUGAGACACGGCCCAA
RNAcentral lists this ribosomal RNA (231 nucleotides) under uncultured bacterium. Its description in RNAcentral is "partial 16S ribosomal RNA". It matches the Rfam family "Bacterial small subunit ribosomal RNA", at positions 103 to 334 of the family's 1533-position model. The record is from RNAcentral.